This 73-nucleotide transfer RNA is filed under the name Pythium insidiosum. RNAcentral describes it as "tRNA-Pro". Lineage: Eukaryota; Oomycota; Peronosporomycetes; Pythiales; Pythiaceae. The record is from RNAcentral.
GGCCAUGUGGUCUAGUGGUAUGAUUCUCUGCUUAGGGUGGCGAGAGGUCCGGAUUCGAUCUCCGGCAUGGCCC